UCCGGUUGCGGCGGCGAAUAGUUAUAAAUUAUGCUAAUUACGCACUAAAAAUGGGUACAAACAUGAAUGGAAUGGACGGGAAUCCAGGGGUCCAAUUACAACAGAACGGCACGCUUCACAAUUCCGUACAAGGUUCGUCACCGGAGGAUAGCAAGACCAAUUUGAUAGUUAACUAUUUACCGCAGGCAAUGUCGCAGGAAGAGAUUCGUAGUUUAUUCUCUAGCAUCGGCGAGGUGGAAUCGUGUAAAUUGAUCAGAGACAAAGGAACAGGUCAGAGUCUAGGUUACGGAUUCGUUAACUAUGUUCGGUCCGAAGAUGCGGAGAAAGCCAUAAAUACACUUAAUGGUUUGAGAUUGCAGAACAAAACCAUCAAGGUAUCGUACGCUCGACCGAGCAGCGAAGCCAUCAAGGGAGCUAACCUUUACGUCAGUGGACUUCCAAAGUCGAUGACCCAACAAGAUCUGGAGGGAUUGUUUCUACCUUUCGGUCGCAUCAUCACUUCGCGCAUCCUCUGCGACAACAUUACAGAGGUUGACGUUCUUUCUUCUCCCCCAGGUCUUUCCAAAGGCGUUGGGUUUGUUCGUUUCGACCAGCGGAUCGAAGCCGAGAGGGCCAUUAAACAUCUACAUAACACCAUUCCCGAAGGUGCCACCGAACCUAUCACAGUGAAGUUUGCCAAUAAUCCCAGCAACAACACCAAAGCCAUAGCACCACUGGCUGCCUAUCUGCCUCCCCAACGCCGUUUUCCUGGUCCCAUUCACCAUCCUGCAAACCGGUUCAGGUAUAUUCCUCUGUCACCAGUCUCCAGGAGAAGGAAUAUGGACGAAUUACCUGGAACAUGGAGACAGAGUAAAGUACUUGAUGGUACCUGAUCAUAAAUUAAUCAAAAUCUGCAUCUCGUUUGGCUGAUAAUAGAACAACCUCUCUAAAGAUUAAUCGUGUCAAAUUAAACAAUUCAACAAACGAGAUACAGCAGGUACUCGCCUCUGGCAGGUGAUCUGCUGGCAAGUCCACUGCUUACAGGAACGGCCAUCAACGGAUCCGGUUGGUGUAUAUUUGUAUACAACUUAGCACCGGACACGGAGGAGAACCUGUUGUGGCAAUUAUUUGGACCAUUC
Molecule: unclassified non-coding RNA, 1118 nt
Filed under: Centruroides sculpturatus (bark scorpion)
Lineage: Eukaryota; Metazoa; Arthropoda; Arachnida; Scorpiones; Buthidae
Description: eLAV-like protein 2, transcript variant X6
Source: RNAcentral